GGGGCAGUAGCUCAGUGGUGCAGCCCCCCGCCUCGCACGUGGGGAGACCUGGGCUCGAUUCCCGGUUGCUUCC
RNAcentral lists this transfer RNA (73 nucleotides) under Toxocara canis (dog roundworm). It matches the Rfam family "tRNA". From Rfam's summary of the family: Transfer RNA (tRNA) molecules are approximately 80 nucleotides in length. The record is from Rfam by way of RNAcentral. Lineage: Eukaryota; Metazoa; Nematoda; Chromadorea; Rhabditida; Toxocaridae.